AUUAUACAGCGAAACUGCGAAUGGCUCAUUAAAUCAGUUAUCGUUUAUUUGAUAGUACCUUACUACUUGGAUAACCGUGGUAAUUCUAGAGCUAAUACAUGCUAAAAAUCCCGACUUCGGAAGGGAUGUAUUUAUUAGAUUAAAAACCAAUGCCCUCCGGGGCUCACUGGUGAUUCAUGAUAACUUCUCGAAUCGCAUGGCCUUGCGCCGGCGAUGGUUCAUUCAAAUUUCUGCCCUAUCAACUUUCGACGGCUGGGUCUUGGCCAGCCAUGGUGACAACGGGUAACGGAGGGUUAGGGCUCGACCCCGGAGAAGGAGCCUGAGAAACGGCUACUACAUCCAAGGAAGGCAGCAGGCGCGCAAAUUACCCAAUCCCGACUCGGGGAGGUAGUGACAAUAAAUACUGAUACAGGGCUCUUUUGGGUCUUGUAAUUGGAAUGAGUACAAUUUAAAUCCCUUAACGAGGAACAAUUGGAGGGCAAGUCUGGUGCCAGCAGCCGCGGUAAUUCCAGCUCCAAUAGCGUAUAUUAAAGUUGUUGCAGUUAAAAAGCUCGUAGUUGAACCUUGGGUCUGGCUGGCCGGUCCGCCUCACCGCGUGCACUGGUCCGGCCGGACCUUUCCCUCUGGGGAACCGCAUGCCCUUCACUGGGUGUGCCGGGGAACCAGGACUUUUACUUUGAAAAAAUUAGAGUGUUUAAAGCAGGCCUUUGCUCGGAUACAUUAGCAUGGAAUAAUAGAAUAGGACGUGUGGUUCUAUUUUGUUGGUUUUUAGGACCGCCGUAAUGAUUAAUAGGGACAGUCGGGGGCAUUAGUAUUCAAUUGUCAGAGGUGAAAUUCUUGGAUUUAUUGAAGACUAACUAUUGCGAAAGCAUUUGCCAAGGAUGUUUUCAUUAAUCAGGAACGAAAGUUAGGGGAUCGAAGACGAUCAGAUACCGUCGUAGUCUUAACCAUAAACUAUGCCGACUAGGGAUCGGACGAUGUUAUUCUUUGACUCGUUCGGCACCUUACACGAAAGUACAAGUUUC
This 1025-nucleotide ribosomal RNA is filed under the name Annulatascus tratensis. Its description in RNAcentral is "SSU rRNA". It matches the Rfam family "Eukaryotic small subunit ribosomal RNA", at positions 73 to 1107 of the family's 1831-position model. The record is from RNAcentral. Lineage: Eukaryota; Fungi; Ascomycota; Sordariomycetes; Annulatascales; Annulatascaceae.